RNAcentral lists this ribosomal RNA (368 nucleotides) under uncultured organism. Its description in RNAcentral is "bacterial SSU rRNA". It matches the Rfam family "Bacterial small subunit ribosomal RNA", at positions 526 to 896 of the family's 1533-position model. The record is from RNAcentral.
CGUAGGUGGCAAGCGUUGUCCGGAUUUAUUGGGUUUAAAGGGUGCGUAGGCGGCUUUGUAAGUCAGUGGUGAAAUAUGGCAGCUUAACUGUCAGGGUGCCAUUGAUACUGCGGAGCUUGAGUACAGAUGAGGUAGGCGGAAUUGACGGUGUAGCGGUGAAAUGCUUAGAUAUCGUCAAGAACACCGAUAGCGAAGGCAGCUUACUGGGCUGUAACUGACGCUGAGGCACGAAAGUGUGGGGAUCAAACAGGAUUAGAUACCCUGGUAGUCCACACUGUAAACGUUGAUGACUCGCUGUUGGCGAUACACGGCCAGCGGCAGAGAGAAAUCGUUAAGUCAUCCACCUAGGGAGUACGCCGGCAACGGUG